This is a small nucleolar RNA of Oryctolagus cuniculus (rabbit), 81 nucleotides long. Its record names the gene SNORD115. It matches the Rfam family "Small nucleolar RNA SNORD115". Rfam says of the family: HBII-52 is a member of the C/D class of snoRNAs, which contain the C (UGAUGA) and D (CUGA) box motifs. HBII-52 is encoded in a tandemly repeated array with another C/D snoRNA, HBII-85, in the Prader-Willi syndrome (PWS) region of chromosome 15. The record is from Ensembl. Lineage: Eukaryota; Metazoa; Chordata; Mammalia; Lagomorpha; Leporidae.
GGGUCAAUGAUGAGACCUCAUACUGUCUAAAAGAGAGAUGAUGGCUUAAAAAUCAUGCUCAGUAGUUUUACAUUGAGGCCU